Molecule: ribosomal RNA, 372 nt
Filed under: Gonium pectorale
Lineage: Eukaryota; Viridiplantae; Chlorophyta; Chlorophyceae; Chlamydomonadales; Volvocaceae
Description: LSU rRNA
Rfam family: Bacterial large subunit ribosomal RNA
Source: RNAcentral
UAACCCGAUCAUCGGACAAAAGCUACGCUAGGGAUAACAGGCUAACACGCUCUUAGAGUACCUAUCGAUGGGCGUACGAGGCACCUCGAUGUUGGAUCAUCGCGUCCUGUGGCUUGCAGAAGGUCAUAAGGGUUGGACUGUUCGUCCAUUAAAGCGGUACGUGAUCUGAGUUCAGAACGUCGUGAGACAGUUCGGUUUCUAUCUUUGUUAACGAAAGGAGAUUUUCCUGAGCAAAAGUUACCGUUGGGAGCGAGUACGAAAGGACCAAAUUCCUAAAAACCUCUGGUGCAUUUGUUGUCUUUAUUAGGCAUAGCAAAAAAGCUACGUUUUUAAAGGUAAGAUUGCUUUAAAUUCAAUUACAUCGAAUGAACC